GGAAGUAAAAGCGUAACAAGGUUUCCGUAGGUGAACCUGCGGAAGGAUCAUUAUUGUAUAACCGAGGUGCGAGGGCUGUCGCUGACCCGAAAGGUCGUGCACGCCCGAGUGCCCUCACACACAUCCAUCUCACCCCUAUGUGCACCACCGCGUGGGUCCCCCUUUGGCUUGUUCGGAGGGGGGCUUACGUUUUCACACAAACUUUGUAUGCAGUGUAGAAUGUAUUUUUUGUUUUUGCGAUCACGCAAUCAAUACAACCUUCAACAACGGAUCUCUUGGCUCUC
This 284-nucleotide unclassified non-coding RNA is filed under the name plant metagenome. RNAcentral describes it as "partial contains small subunit ribosomal RNA and internal transcribed spacer 1". The stretch from base 1 to 53 matches the Rfam family "Eukaryotic small subunit ribosomal RNA", at positions 1778 to 1831 of the family's 1831-position model. The record is from RNAcentral.